AUUGUCACGUGCUGGUUCCUCCCGUUAACUACAUUGCCGUUCCCUGCUGAUAUUCCACGUCUUCUUGUUGUUAACCCAGACUAACCACAGAACAUUGGAAGGACUUAAGGGAGCACUGGCCAGAGAACAACAAUGAUCCAAUUGCCAUUUGUCAGCUCCAUGGUGGGCAGAUUCUGCUGCGUCCUUAAUCCCCGCCGUGCAGCCAUAGUUCCACUGUGACUGUUCCUAAAUGGACGUCAGUGCUACAGGUAAUGGAGCUGAUUACAGCUAUCUGGGCUGUGGGCUGGCUGCCAGACUUUGCCCUGCCUGGAGGGAGCUCAGGCCGCCUGGUGUCUGAUAUCCUGGGAUCCCUGUAACACAAGCCCUGCCUUGGCAGUCACUCUGCAACUAUCUUGCCCACUUCAAGCCACACAUCGAGGCUCCUUGGAGGAUGUCUCUGUGUAUAGUAUGUCCUCAUCAAGUUGUUUACUCCAAAUUGUAUUAGUCUACAGUCCUACCAUUUCAUCAACAAGGCUGUAGUAAGGGAUGACAUUGCUACAGUUUUAAUAGCUCAGUUUAAAUUGUGCACACAGGUUGUAUUCCUGACAAAAGAGAAAACAAUAGGUUAUCAGUUGAUGCAUUCUCGCCUCUAUUUCUGUCAUUUUAUUCAGUCUGCUAAAUGGAAGCUCAACCAAUAGCAGCUGAGGCUCAACCGACAGCCAUGAUAAAGAGACAUAAACAUAGCACAGCAUGCUGUUUUAAGAGGCAAAGUGCUUAAUUUACGACAAGAAUAUCUUUCUGUAAGUUUUGUUCGCACACAAUUAAUUUGAAAAUGCAAUAAACACGUUAGGACCCAAACUAUUAAUGAGCCAUAUGAAAGCAGAUAGGAAGCAAACUAAAAUUAGCCCAGUGCCUCAGCAAACACUUCCAUAGCCAAAUAUCAGCAUUGUGUGAAUUUUUAAUUUCCUCUCUGAAGAGUUUUUAUUAUACAAACUGGAUUAUUUCUUUACUUUUGUACUGUUUCAGACCUUUGACCUCAACUAGAAAUCAGAUUUGGACCUUUGAACAUGAAGUUUUUGGACCGUUUGUAUAAACGGUAGUUCCCUACCUUAAAUGACCAGAGCUGAUCAAGAAACCAUGUUGGGGUCAUGAAACAGUCACUAGACACUGUUUGUGUCCAGGCUAAAUUUUUAUUCCUUCUUGUCUAGUAAAGCAUAACAUUUCUUGCUUCUUUGUUAACAAUAAAUUACCAUGGUGACAGGAGGGCUGUUUCUUCUAAACAUACCUGGCGUUUGGUGAAACAACAUUCACUUGGUGCAACUGAUGUUAUCAUUGUCCUUGGAAAGAGCGUCUCUGUAGACGCCUUAAAUAAAUGUGAAAAUUCAAUCCAUACAGAAAACAGAGGGAAGAGGAACUUACAACAAUUUCUUUGAAGAAGCAGUAGUUUCCUUUGCUUCUAUGUAGUUGGUAUGACAAGCGUGUGUGCAGCAGCUUACAUGAACCUGUGGUGUAAAAUUUGUAAAUGAAGAAUGGCACUUUUGAAAUCAUCCUUUGUUACCAAAUGGUUGUAUUAAAUUUACAGCACAUGAUGAUAAGAUAGUCACACUGGGGGGUAAAUUGGGUUCAGAUUAAAAUCACCUGUCAAUGGCAAAAUGCCCAAAUUAGACUGGUGUCACAGAAACAACAGAAUGGACGCAGUGCUUAGAUAAUAAUGGAAAUAUGGUCACAGAGUAGGAAUAUAUUACUGUUAUAUUUUAAAUAAAUUAUAUUUUUCACCUAA
Long non-coding RNA from Girardinichthys multiradiatus, 1759 nucleotides. RefSeq lists it as uncharacterized. The transcript is spliced from 3 exons. The record is from RefSeq and is a predicted model, not a curated record. Lineage: Eukaryota; Metazoa; Chordata; Actinopteri; Cyprinodontiformes; Goodeidae.